GAAAUUGGGGGUUGGAUUAAAAUGCGAGUCGAGCGCCUCCAGCUAUGGUGAAGGCGCGGCAUACGGCUCAGUAACACGUGGCUAACCUACCCUUGGGACGGGAACACCCCCGGGAAACCACGCACAGACCCCUAAACGACACAAACACAACUUUUCAAAACGUCAAAAACGCCGAGUAUAUGCCAUCAACAAACAUUUACCUACACCGCCUUGCCGCCCUCUACAAAGGCGAAGGCAAUCUCAAGCUAACCCAAACCACACACUUCUGAAACACAACCUCUAAGGCUCUGGCGUAGCCCAAAACUGGGGUCAAUUCCCGAUAGGCGAUUAGGCCUGGAAUGGUUCUUCACCCAAAAGCCGCUGGAGACAUGCUCUCCAGCGUUGCCCAAGGAUGGGGCCGCGCCCGAUCAGGUUGUUGGUGGGGUAACGGCUCACCAAGCCUAUAACCGGUACGGGCCGUGAGAGCGGGAGCCCGGAGAUGGGCACUGAGACAAGGGCCCAGGCCCUACGGGGCGCAGCAGUCGCGAAAACUCCGCAAUGCGCGAAAGCGUGACGGGGCUACCCCGAGUGCCGUCCGCUGAGGAUGGCUUUUCCCCGGUGUAAUGAGCCGGGGGAAUAAGGAGAGGGCAAGUCUGGUGUCAGCCGCCGCGGUAAUACCAGCUCUCCGAGUGGUAGGGAUGAUUAUUGGGCUUAAAGCGUCCGUAGCCGGCUUAGCAAGUCUCCUGUUAAAUUCAGCGACCUAAUCGUUGAGCCGCGGGAGAUACUACUAGGCUAGGAGGCGGGAGAGGCCGACGGUAUUCUCGGGGUAGGGGUGAAAUCCUAUAAUCCCGGGAGGACCACCAGUGGCGAACGCUGUCGGCUAGAACGCGCUCGACGGUGAGGGACGAAAGCUGGGGGAGCGAACCGGAUUAGAUACCCGGGUAGUCCCAGCUGUAAACGAUGCGGGCUAGGUGUUGGGGUGGCUACGAGCCACUUCAGUGCCGCAGGAAGCCGUUAAGCCCGCCGCCUGGGGAGUACGGCCGCAAGGCUG
Molecule: ribosomal RNA, 1030 nt
Filed under: uncultured archaeon
Lineage: Archaea
Description: bacterial SSU rRNA
Rfam family: Archaeal small subunit ribosomal RNA
Source: RNAcentral